Molecule: ribosomal RNA, 497 nt
Filed under: uncultured bacterium
Lineage: Bacteria
Description: partial 16S ribosomal RNA
Rfam family: Bacterial small subunit ribosomal RNA
Source: RNAcentral
GAUGAACGCUGGCGGCGUGCCUAAUACAUGCAAGUCGAGCGAACAGACGAGGAGCUUGCUCCUCUGACGUUAGCGGCGGACGGGUGAGUAACACGUGGAUAACCUACCUAUAAGACUGGGAUAACUUCGGGAAACCGGAGCUAAUACCGGAUAAUAUAUUGAACCGCAUGGUUCAAUAGUGAAAGACGGUUUUGCUGUCACUUAUAGAUGGAUCCGCGCCGCAUUAGCUAGUUGGUAAGGUAACGGCUUACCAAGGCAACGAUGCGUAGCCGACCUGAGAGGCUGAUCGGCCCCACUGGAACUGAGACACGGUCCAGACUCCUAAGGGCGGCAGCAGUAGGGAAUCUUCCGCAAUGGGCGAAAGCCUGACGGAGCAACGCCGCGUGAGUGAUGAAGGUCUUCGGAUCGUAAAACUCUGUUAUUAGGGAAGAACAAAUGUGUAAGUAACUAUGCACGUCUUGACGGUACCUAAUCAGAAAGCCACGGCUAACUACGUG